CUGGAGUGGGUUGCCAUUUCCUUCUCCAAUGCAUGAAAGUGAAAAGUGAACGUGAAGUCGCUCAGGUUGUCUACUUGAAAGUUAUACUGUCGUGUCCGACUCCUAGCGACCCCAUGGACUGUAGUCUACCAGACUCCCCUGUCCAUGGGAUUUUCCAGACAAGAGUACUGGAGUGGGGUGCCAUUGCCUUAAGUUUAGAACAGUUUGUUAAAAUGUUAAGUGAAAAAGCUACACACCAGGUUUUAUAUGUGGAAUGAGUCUAAAGAAAACAUACGAAUAAACAAGAAGUGCUAGAAAAAUUCAGGCAAGCGAGGCAAUUCAUGUUAAUGACGCUUGCUUUCUUCUUUCCUGUGUGGGGUGCCGCACCUAGACCAGCUGACCUCAGGCGGCGGGUCAGCUCCCGGCCCCGCCCACCUCUGCACAUGCGCAUGGAGGCCCUCUACGGCCACGCCACUGCUGCUGACCCAUGCUCCUGCUGCUGCUCUGAUGGAAUGGAGUGCGGACGCAUGUGUUUCUGUCGCUGUGAAUUUUAAUGAGGUUACACUGACUUAGACCCUUAAGAGUUUCUGGGCUGGGCCUGGCCUAGCAAUGGCUCUGCACAAUUUAGUGAGUCGUAAGGAGUGCUGUCACUGUUCUCUGGGUGCUGGGCCCCAGGAGUCACAGAAGGGCUCCAUCAGCACACAGAAUGCAGAAGCGUGCGGCUAUUUAGAGCUCUCCCUGGCUCUCACCUGAUCUUCAAUGAUACGGGAAGAUUAAGUACCAGGAUCGGAAAAGAUAUGGGAGAGAACUGGUUGGAGCACACUCGAGUUCAGUAGAUGUGGAAACACGUGCCCUCAGUCAUCGCUCAAGCUGAUCAUGGGUGGCCUUGGCCUGUCGUGACUUGAAGUGGGAUUUUGGUUUCCCGCCACAGAUGAAGUCAGGCCGCAUGAGAGAGAGCACUGAAUCCGAGCUGAAUGUGACCUUUCAGCUUUGCAGAAAAGCAUUUUCACAAAGAUGGAAAGUAGUAAAACAAGUAAAGUGUUAUGAGGAGGAAAAGGGUACAUGUGGAUAGAUGCAUGGGUGGGCUCAGAGAGAGGGUCGCCUCCUCAUGGUUUGAGUCACUUUUAUGGGGCCUCUUUUCCUGGGUUUUUUUGAUCAGUCAUCUUGCUUUGCCUGGUUCAGAGUCCGUAUUGGUUCAUCUCAGGGUCCUCUAGUGUGUGCCUGAAAUCUCGUAGCCAGGAUGGAAUCUAGUAAGACGUCUAUGGGUAGAUUGAUGUCAUUCCCUUUUCGACCUCCAAGGAACCUCUUCACACAUGUGUAGUUGGGAAGGUCUCCUUGACCUUGAGAAUGAGAAAUAUGUGGCUCUUAUCUGGGCAGGGCUUAGCUCCUCCUCUUCAUCGCGGAGUAUCAGUCCACAGAGGACAGUCUCCAGCUCUUCAGCCUGGGACCUAUCUAUCUCCUGCCUCAAAACCACAGUUCAGUUCAGUUCAGUUCAGUCACUCAGUCGUGUCCAACUCUUUGCAACCCCAUGAACCGCAGCACACCAGGCCUCCCUGUCUAUCACCAACUCCCAGAGUUUACCC
Bos taurus (domestic cattle) is the source of this 1562-nucleotide long non-coding RNA. Lineage: Eukaryota; Metazoa; Chordata; Mammalia; Artiodactyla; Bovidae. The record is from Ensembl.